RNAcentral lists this ribosomal RNA (256 nucleotides) under uncultured prokaryote. Its description in RNAcentral is "partial 16S ribosomal RNA". It matches the Rfam family "Bacterial small subunit ribosomal RNA", at positions 521 to 775 of the family's 1533-position model. The record is from RNAcentral.
UAAUACGGGGGGAGCAAGCGUUGUUCGGAUUUACUGGGCGUAAAGGGCGCGUAGGCGGUCAGCACAAGUCAGUUGUGAAAUCUCCGGGCUUAACUCGGAAAGGUCAACUGAUACUGUGCGACUAGAGUGCGGAAGGGGCAACUGGAAUUCUCGGUGUAGCGGUGAAAUGCGUAGAUAUCGAGAGGAACACCUGCGGCGAAGGCGGGUUGCUGGGCUGACACUGACGCUGAGGCGCGAAAGCUAGGGGAGCGAACGG